GUGGGGAAUCUUCCGCAAUGGACGAAAGUCUGACGGAGCGACGCCGCGUGAGUGAAGAAGGCCUUCGGGUCGUAAAGCUCUGUCAUCAGGGACGAACGGCCGGUGGAGUGGAAAGCCACCGGAUUGACGGUACCUGAGAAGGAAGCCACGGCUGACUACGUGCCAGCAGCCGCGGUAAUACGUAGGUGGCAAGCGUUGUCCGGAAUUAUUGGGCGUAAAGCGCGCGCAGGUGGGAUCUUAAGUCCAUUUUGAAAGUUCGGAGCUCAACUCCGUGAUGGGAUGGAAACUGGGAUUCUUGAGUACCGGAGAGGAAAGCGGAAUUCCCCGUGUAGCGGUGAAAUGCGUAGAUAUGGGGAGGAACACCAGUGGCGAAGGCGGCUUUCUGGACGGUGUCUGACACUGAGGCGCGAAAGCUAGGGGAGCGAACGGGAUUAGAUACCCGGGUAGUCC
Molecule: ribosomal RNA, 450 nt
Filed under: uncultured bacterium
Lineage: Bacteria
Description: partial 16S ribosomal RNA
Rfam family: Bacterial small subunit ribosomal RNA
Source: RNAcentral